GGCACCGUGGCCGAGGAAUUAGGCAAAGGUCUGCAAAACCUUUCUACGCGGGUGUAAAUCCCGUCGGUGCCUCCA
This 75-nucleotide transfer RNA is filed under the name Candidatus Saccharimonadota bacterium. RNAcentral describes it as "tRNA-Cys". It matches the Rfam family "tRNA". From Rfam's summary of the family: Transfer RNA (tRNA) molecules are approximately 80 nucleotides in length. Their secondary structure includes four short double-helical elements and three loops (D, anti-codon, and T loops). Lineage: Bacteria; Candidatus Saccharimonadota. The record is from RNAcentral.